This 324-nucleotide ribosomal RNA is filed under the name Austrodecus glaciale. Its description in RNAcentral is "partial 12S ribosomal RNA". The record is from RNAcentral. Lineage: Eukaryota; Metazoa; Arthropoda; Pycnogonida; Pantopoda; Austrodecidae.
UAUUAGUUUUUAUCUUUAAAGUUAAAAAAUUUGGCGGUAAUUAAAUUUUCUAGAGGAAUUUGUUUUAUUAAAUCGAAAUUACGCGUUUAUCUUAACCUGAAUUUUUAUAGUUUUAUAUCGCUGUUUAGAAAGUUUUUUUUGAAUUUAAACUUUCUUUUUGUUUUUACAGAAAAAUCAAGUCAAGAUGAACUUAUAUUUGGGGUAGAAAUGAAUUACAUUUAUUAAAUAAAUAAAAUGGAUUGUUAGUUUAAAAAUUGAUUUGAAAUAGGAUUUAGAAGUAAUUAGGAAUUAUAAUAUCUUUUUGAAUAUUUAAUUUAAUUAUGU